CUACGGGAGGCAGCAGUGGGGAAUCUUGGACAAUGGGGGCAACCCUGAUCCAGCCAUGCCGCGUGAGUGAUGAAGGCCUUAGGGUCGUAAAGCUCUUUCGCCUGUGAUGAUAAUGACAGUAGCAGGUAAAGAAACCCCGGCUAACUCCGUGCCAGCAGCCGCGGUAAUACGGAGGGGGUUAGCGUUGUUCGGAAUUACUGGGCGUAAAGCGCGCGUAGGCGGACUGGAAAGUUGGGGGUGAAAUCCCGGGGCUCAACCCCGGAACUGCCUCCAAAACUAUCAGUCUAGAGUUCGAGAGAGGUGAGUGGAAUUCCGAGUGUAGAGGUGAAAUUCGUAGAUAUUCGGAGGAACACCAGUGGCGAAGGCGGCUCACUGGCUCGAUACUGACGCUGAGGUGCGAAAGUGUGGGGAGCAAACAGGAUUAGAUACCCUGGUAGUCCACACCGUAAACGAUGAAUGCCAGUCGUCGGGUAGCAUGCUAUUCGGUGACACACCUAACGGAUUAAGCAUUCCGCCUGGGGAGUACGGUCGCAAGAUUAAAACUCAAAGGAAUUGACGG
RNAcentral lists this ribosomal RNA (559 nucleotides) under uncultured marine bacterium D005. RNAcentral's name for it is "bacterial SSU rRNA". It matches the Rfam family "Bacterial small subunit ribosomal RNA", at positions 339 to 916 of the family's 1533-position model. RNAcentral also lists the same sequence under 2 other names. The record is from RNAcentral.